Molecule: unclassified non-coding RNA, 200 nt
Filed under: Jattaea sp.
Lineage: Eukaryota; Fungi; Ascomycota; Sordariomycetes; Calosphaeriales; Calosphaeriaceae
Description: partial internal transcribed spacer 2
Source: RNAcentral
UUAAGUUCAGCGGGUAUUCCUACCUGAUCCGAGGUCAACCUUGUGGAGGACGUUUCUUAGGCGUCUCGUUUAACGGCGGAGCGCGUCCGGGCUCCCGGGGCGAAGAGUUUCUACUACGCUCGGGUUUCCGGCCGGCUCGCCACUGCACUUGGGGGCCUGCGCUCUCGCGCAGCGCCCCAACGCCAGGCUGGGCCUGAGGG